Molecule: non-coding RNA, 31 nt
Filed under: Mus musculus (house mouse)
Lineage: Eukaryota; Metazoa; Chordata; Mammalia; Rodentia; Muridae
Source: RNAcentral
UCAAAGCCUACUUUUAAUGAUGAUUUUCAAC